Molecule: ribosomal RNA, 236 nt
Filed under: uncultured bacterium
Lineage: Bacteria
Description: partial 16S ribosomal RNA
Rfam family: Bacterial small subunit ribosomal RNA
Source: RNAcentral
UACGUAGGCAGCGAGCGUUGUUCGGAGUACUGGCGUAAAGCGUGACGCAGGCGGUGAUGUAAGACAGGUGUGAAAUCCCCGGGCUUAACCUGGGAACUGCAUUUGUGACUGCAUCGCUGGAGUGCGGCAGAGGGGGAUGGAAUUCCGCGUGUAGCAGUGAAAUGCGUAGAUAUGCGGAGGAACACCGAUGGCGAAGGCAACUCCCCUGGGCCGAUGACUGACGCUGAGGAGCGAAA